CUCUCUCCCCUCUCUCCCUCCCUCUCUCUCUCCUGUCUCUGCUCUCUCUUCCCUCCUAGCUCGUGCUUCUGUAUCCCUGAGCCUGCUGCCAUUGCCAGUUGCUAUCAGAACAUCUGCAAAGCUGAGUCCGUCCUCCCCAAAGGCCACAUCUGCACCAGGGUUUGCCUGCAGCACCUGUGAUCUGUCUCCUGCUGGACGCUGAGACCCCCCAGUGUCGCCUCUGGGAGCUGUGUGGGACCCUGCACACUAGAUGGAGCCUCUGCUGCCUGCCAGCAUGGGGGGACCUGCUUCUCAAGCCCGACCCCAUUCAUCGUCAGCCACGUACUGGGUGCCCGUGACGGUCUGACGCUGACGCCUGAUUCUGCUUUCUGCCACGUGGCAUUCGCGGCCGUCGCCACAGCCAUCAGGUCUGUGGAGCCACGCGCAGGUGCGCAUUCCUGGGAGUGGGCGCAAAACCUCAGAUGGGAGAGCAGAGGCUGCAGGGCAGGUAACGUGCUCCCCUCUGUGACCUGGGCAGACGCCUGCACACCCGUCCUACCUGCGGGCACUGAGCACUCACCCAGACCUGUGGCUGUGCCCUCCACGUUUGUCAUCCAGGCCCAGCUCCCCCUGCCUGCCCAGUCUCAAACCGGAGCCCUAGCCCGGUCCCAGAUCGUGGGGUGCUGCCCUGGGGUCCCCCAUCAACACAGGAUAACACCACCAGCGCCAAGCACCCCUGAGCAAUCUGCCCUGAGCAACUUGCCCUAUCACUGUUUCAGUGACUCAGAGCCCCGUUCUAGAUGCCCAGGCACCUGCCAGCUUCAUUGCUGGAGUGAAACUGGGGGUGACGGGGCUGCCAUAAAAGAUGACAGUGGGACCACGUUGAGGUCACCUAGUGUUUCUUCUUCAGGUCUCCAUGACUGAACUCACUGGGCUGCCCUAGGACCACUGCAGUCAAGACCAUCCUCUGCAGAGUGUGGGGCCUGCGUUCCUCUGCCUGUGCCUCAUUCAGGCUUCAAGAUUGGAUUCCUUUAAAAGGCAAAGACUGUAGCUCCUUUCUCUUCAAAUCCUCCUAGUGUCUGGCUGAAAGUCUUGCCCCUUAGGAGGGAAAAAUGGCUUUUGGAAGUGGAUUAGGAAAUGAGAGCAUGGAUGUCGGACAACGGGCUCGGAUCUGCAGGUCCUCAGUUUCAUAAUCCGUCAGCUAAGGUUGUGGCACCUGUGCCCACAGCACAUAUGCUGCUCGCAGAUUCGGAUACACGUGUGGGUGUGUGCUGUGUGGACGGCGGUGGGAUCCAUGUACCUCAGGCGGUGCUGCCCUGGAAAGCUCAAGACUGGCACAGACUGUCACCACGAGCUGAGACCCAGCCUGCUGGUCGCAGAGGAGGAGUGGAGGGGUCAGCUGGGAGCCUUCUAGUUUCCCUGGAGCGAGGGCCUGAAGGACGCAGGUCUCCAUCUCAGUGUGUGUAAAGUCGGGGGCACACCUCUGCCCAGGGGUCUCUAGGGGUGAUGAGGAGGGGCCAUGCCUGUUUCUGUCCCUGGUGCUCAAUCCAAGAGCUCUGUCUCUGAGGAUGGAGCAUCACAUCAACCCCUGGUUAAAGCAGCCCAGAGGCUGGGACCUCGGCCCCCCAGGCUGGUGCCUCUGCCUUAGCUCAGCCCUCAACAGGCCACAGCCACUCCCCAAGGCCGGCACUCCCCAGUCAGGGACACUUGCCCACUCGUGAGGCCACCACCCACCUCCUGUCCAUAAGACAGGCACAUUGUUCCAAGGCAGGCGGGCCUCGGGGUCUGUGUGGAUCAGGCCUGAUAGAAACGUCUAUGCCAAAAUGUGUAUGACUGUAAUCUCUGGUGCUGGUGAUUUCAAUUUUGUUUUCUUAAUUUACAUUAUCUCAUUUUUUUCCAUUAGAUGUUCUCUAUUGAAUUGCAACCUUGACAUGAAUAUUAAAAUAAUUUUUAAAAUAAACCUGGCUGUUGAAAUGAGGCAGCAAAAGCACGCUGAAAGCAGGCAGUGAGCACGGGCUGUACAGGAAGCAUGGCGGCAUCUGAUUCUAGGGCCAUCAGCAGUUCAGAGAGGUGACAUUACUUUCAGACUGGCCCAAAGCUGGUAAGUAGCAGAGACUGGCUGAGGGAAGAAGAGCCAGAUGUCUACCCUUGAUGCCAAGUCCUGCCCACACUGGCCUCACAUCCAGCUCCCUGGGUCCUCAGGGAAUUCAGCCCCCAGAGGCCCUGCCCACCAGAUGCAGCCAAAGCAAAGGGCAGCCCCACCCAUGUGGCUCCUCACUGGGCUGCUGGUCAUGUAGGACUCUCUGUAUAGUUUAGGGUAGAGCUGGCCUCAUGGAAUGAUUUAGGAAGUAUCCCCUCUGCUCUCAUCCUCUGAAAGAGAUUGUAGAGAAUCGAUAUGAUUUCUUUCUUAAAUGUUUGGUGGAAUUCACCAGUG
Molecule: non-coding RNA, 2413 nt
Organism: Macaca mulatta (Rhesus monkey)
Lineage: Eukaryota; Metazoa; Chordata; Mammalia; Primates; Cercopithecidae
Source: RefSeq, a predicted model, not a curated record